RNAcentral lists this ribosomal RNA (460 nucleotides) under uncultured bacterium. Its description in RNAcentral is "partial 16S ribosomal RNA". It matches the Rfam family "Bacterial small subunit ribosomal RNA", at positions 338 to 795 of the family's 1533-position model. The record is from RNAcentral.
CCUACGGGUGGCAGCAGUGAGGAAUAUUGGUCAAUGGGCGGAAGCCUGAACCAGCCAUGCCGCGUGCAGGAAGACGGCUCUAUGAGUUGUAAACUGCUUUUGUACGAGGGUAAACGCAGAUACGCGUAUCUGUCUGAAAGUAUCGUACGAAUAAGGAACGGCUAACUCCGUGCCAGCAGCCGCGGUAAUACGGAGGAUUCAAGCGUUAUCCGGAUUUCUUGGGGUUAAAGGGUGCGUAGGCGGUCGGAUAAGUUAGAGGUGAAAUCCCGAGGCUCAACUUCGGAAUUGCCUCUGAUACUGUUCGGCUAGAGAGUAGUUGCGGUAGGCGGAAUGUAUGGUGUAGCGGUGAAAUGCUUAGAGAUCAUACAGAACACCGAUUGCGAAGGCAGCUUACCAAGCUACUUCUGACGUUGAGGCACGAAAGCAUGGGGAGCAAACAGGAUUAGAUACCCGGGUAGUC